AUCCAGAUGACGAGUCCUAAAUGGGACGAAACGCACGUCCUAGAU
RNAcentral lists this non-coding RNA (45 nucleotides) under Schistosoma margrebowiei. The record is from RNAcentral. Lineage: Eukaryota; Metazoa; Platyhelminthes; Trematoda; Strigeidida; Schistosomatidae.